RNAcentral lists this transfer RNA (58 nucleotides) under Contracaecum ogmorhini sensu lato Australia. RNAcentral's name for it is "tRNA-Pro". RNAcentral also lists the same sequence under 2 other names. Lineage: Eukaryota; Metazoa; Nematoda; Chromadorea; Rhabditida; Anisakidae. The record is from RNAcentral.
CAGUAUAUAGUUUAUAUUUAAAAUUUAGUGUUUGGGACACUGGGAAUUUCUUUACUGA